AGAGUUUGAUCAUGGCUCAGGAUGAACGCUAGCGACAGGCUUAACACAUGCAAGUCGAGGGGCAGCAUAAAAGUAGCAAUACUUGGUGGCGACCGGCGCACGGGUGAGUAACGCGUAUGCAACCUACCUAUCAGAGGGGAAUAACCCGGCGAAAGUCGGACUAAUACCGCAUAAAACAGGGGCACCGCAUGGUGAUAUUUGUUAAAGAAAUUCGCUGAUAGAUGGGCAUGCGUUCCAUUAGGUAGUUGGUGAGGUAACGGCUCACCAAGCCGACGAUGGAUAGGGGAACUGAGAGGUUGGUCCCCCACACUGGUACUGAGACACGGACCAGACUCCUACGGGAGGCAGCAGUGAGGAAUAUUGGUCAAUGGGCGGGAGCCUGAACCAGCCAAGUCGCGUGAAAGGAAGAAGGAUCUAUGGUUCGUAAACUUCUUUUGCAGGGGAAUAAAGUGCAGGACGUGUCCUGUUUUGUAUGUACCCUGAGAAUAAGGAUCGGCUAACUCCGUGCCAGCCGCAGC
This 518-nucleotide ribosomal RNA is filed under the name uncultured bacterium. Its description in RNAcentral is "bacterial SSU rRNA". It matches the Rfam family "Bacterial small subunit ribosomal RNA", at positions 8 to 518 of the family's 1533-position model. The record is from RNAcentral.